UGCCUAAUACAUGCAAGUCGAACGAACUCUGGUAUUGAUUGGUGCUUGCAUCAUGAUUUACAUUUGAGUGAGUGGCGAACUGGUGAGUAACACGUGGGAAACCUGCCCAGAAGCGGGGGAUAACACCUGGAAACAGAUGCUAAUACCGCAUAACAACUUGGACCGCAUGGUCCGAGUUUGAAAGAUGGCUUCGGCUAUCACUUUUGGAUGGUCCCGCGGCGUAUUAGCUAGAUGGUGAGGUAACGGCUCACCAUGGCAAUGAUACGUAGCCGACCUGAGAGGGUAAUCGGCCACAUUGGGACUGAGACACGGCCCAAACUCCUACGGGAGGCAGCAGUAGGGAAUCUUCCACAAUGGACGAAAGUCUGAUGGAGCAACGCCGCGUGAGUGAAGAAGGGUUUCGGCUCGUAAAACUCUGUUGUUAAAGAAGAACAUAUCUGAGAGUAACUGUUCAGGUAUUGACGGUAUUUAACCAGAAAGCCACGGCUAACUACGUGCCAGCAGCCGCGGUAAUACGUAGGUGGCAAGCGUUGUCCGGAUUUAUUGGGCGUAAAGCGAGCGCAGGCGGUUUUUUAAGUCUGAUGUGAAAGCCUUCGGCUCAACCGAAGAAGUGCAUCGGAAACUGGGAAACUUGAGUGCAGAAGAGGACAGUGGAACUCCAUGUGUAGCGGUGAAAUGCGUAGAUAUAUGGAAGAACACCAGUGGCGAAGGCGGCUGUCUGGUCUGUAACUGACGCUGAGGCUCGAAAGUAUGGGUAGCAAACAGGAUUAGAUACCCUGGUAGUCCAUACCGUAAACGAUGAAUGCUAAGUGUUGGAGGGUUUCCGCCCUUCAGUGCUGCAGCUAACGCAUUAAGCAUUCCGCCUGGGGAGUACGGCCGCAAGGCUGAAACUCAAAGGAAUUGACGGGGGCCCGCACAAGCGGUGGAGCAUGUGGUUUAAUUGGAAGCUACGCGAAGAACCUUACCAGGUCUUGACAUACUAUGCAAAUCUAAGAGAUUAGACGUUCCCUUCGGGGACAUGGAUACAGGUGGUGCAUGGUUGUCGUCAGCUCGUGUCGUGAGAUGUUGGGUUAAGUCCCGCAACGAGCGCAACCCUUAUUAUCAGUUGCCAGCAUUAAGUUGGGCACUCUGGUGAGACUGCCGGUGACAAACCGGAGGAAGGUGGGGAUGACGUCAAAUCAUCAUGCCCCUUAUGACCUGGGCUACACACGUGCUACAAUGGAUGGUACAACGAGUUGCGAACUCGCGAGAGUAAGCUAAUCUCUUAAAGCCAUUCUCAGUUCGGAUUGUAGGCUGCAACUCGCCUACAUGAAGUCGGAAUCGCUAGUAAUCGCGGAUCAGCAUGCCGCGGUGAAUACGUUCCCGGGCCUUGUACACACCGCCCGUCACACCAUGAGAGUUUGUAACACCCAAAGUCGGUGGGGUAACCUUUUAGGAACCAGCCGCCU
This 1448-nucleotide ribosomal RNA is filed under the name Lactiplantibacillus plantarum. RNAcentral's name for it is "bacterial SSU rRNA". It matches the Rfam family "Bacterial small subunit ribosomal RNA". Lineage: Bacteria; Bacillati; Bacillota; Bacilli; Lactobacillales; Lactobacillaceae. The record is from RNAcentral.